Molecule: ribosomal RNA, 194 nt
Filed under: uncultured bacterium
Lineage: Bacteria
Description: partial 16S ribosomal RNA
Rfam family: Bacterial small subunit ribosomal RNA
Source: RNAcentral
GCUAAUACCGCAUAAGCGCACGGUUCCGCAUGGAACAGUGUGAAAAACUACCGGUGGUACAGGAUGGAUUCGCGUCUGAUUAGCCAGUUGGUGGGGUAACGGCCUACCAAAGCAACGAUCAGUAGCCGGCCUGAGAGGGUGAACGGCCACAUUGGGACUGAGACACGGCCCAAACUCCUACGGGAGGCAGCAUG